Oxyura jamaicensis (ruddy duck) is the source of this 367-nucleotide long non-coding RNA. RefSeq lists it as uncharacterized. The transcript is spliced from 3 exons. The record is from RefSeq and is a predicted model, not a curated record. NCBI's taxonomy places the organism in Eukaryota, Metazoa, Chordata, Aves, Anseriformes, Anatidae.
GCACAGCUCUUUCCAAUGCACUGCUAAUUAAGGCAGCUCUAAGAGUGAGGGUUUUGGGACCUGUAGGUUUUCUCUGGGUUGCAAGCAGAGGGGUUGCUUCAGUCCUUGUGAGAGGCAUUUAGUGCUGUCAAGUGGCAGUGAACCAGGGCUUUGAGAAAGAAGAAACAGAAGAUGAUGGCAAAUUAACAAAGCAGGGGAGCAGCAUUUCUAGACCAAAGAAGGCUGAACUAGGUUUGAAAGGGCACUGAUGAGAAUCCAUAGGAAGGCGGUAAAUAAAACUGCUACUGAAGAGAAUAAAACUAAUGUCAGACAUUGGCAUACAUGCCACUGCUUUUCAAGUCUCUCUGAAUAAAAACACUUUUGAGUU